UGCAUCGGCCGGGAAUCGAACCCGCGUGGCAGGCGAGCAUUUUACCGUUGAACCACCGAUAC
RNAcentral lists this transfer RNA (62 nucleotides) under Cordylochernes scorpioides. RNAcentral describes it as "tRNA-Ser". The record is from RNAcentral. Lineage: Eukaryota; Metazoa; Arthropoda; Arachnida; Pseudoscorpiones; Chernetidae.